Molecule: non-coding RNA, 30 nt
Filed under: Mus musculus (house mouse)
Lineage: Eukaryota; Metazoa; Chordata; Mammalia; Rodentia; Muridae
Source: RNAcentral
AGCUGCAUGCUUGUCAAUUCCUGUAUCUGU